Long non-coding RNA from Caretta caretta (loggerhead turtle), 450 nucleotides. RefSeq lists it as uncharacterized. Lineage: Eukaryota; Metazoa; Chordata; Testudines; Cheloniidae. The record is from RefSeq and is a predicted model, not a curated record.
GUGUGAACAAAUCUGACUAGCCAACUGAUGUGAAUACACAUGGAUGAGUCAAUGUCCAUUCUUUUCCGUUUCACCUAGUGGCAGAGUAUAAAAGCAACAUAAUUCACUGCUCAGCAGUUUCUCAACCAGCUCUUCUUGCAUCAGAUUUGAAGUAACAGAAGAGUGCCAUCUCAACAAGUGCACACGGAGAAACCAGGCCGCUACCGUCUCACAGAGACUAAGGAGGAAACUCUGAUCCUGCGGGAAAAAGCAACUCUGAAGCAGAAACACCACUGAAUCCAGUUUUUAAUCAUACAAUAGAAAGAAAAGCAGAGAACCAGUUUAUAAAUUUUUUUGAAAAGUUAUCUUAAAAUUCUGUGAAAUGAUAAAUUUCUGUGUCCUAUAACAUACAAUAUAUAUGGACAAAAACGCACAGCUUCAGUUAUUAAAUUUAUCAUCAUUACUCUUCAA